CUUAAAACUUUGAGCGGAAGUCCAUAAGGAAAAGCCCAAAGACCACAAUAUCAAUAUCGACUAGUGGUGGGAUUGAACUAUUACCAAUGGUAUGAGAGCCAGGCACCGCACGGUGUACCAGUGAGAACGUUGGGUCUCCGAAGGAGAGUGGAUUGUGAGAUCCCACGUCAGUUGGAGAGAGGGAA
This is a long non-coding RNA of Cucurbita moschata (crookneck pumpkin), 185 nucleotides long. RefSeq lists it as uncharacterized. The transcript is spliced from 3 exons. The record is from RefSeq and is a predicted model, not a curated record. Lineage: Eukaryota; Viridiplantae; Streptophyta; Magnoliopsida; Cucurbitales; Cucurbitaceae.